This 393-nucleotide unclassified non-coding RNA is filed under the name soil metagenome. Its description in RNAcentral is "partial contains 5.8S ribosomal RNA, internal transcribed spacer 2, and large subunit ribosomal RNA". The stretch from base 3 to 122 matches the Rfam family "5.8S ribosomal RNA", at positions 37 to 154 of the family's 154-position model. The record is from RNAcentral.
GGUGAAGAACGCAGCGAAAUGCGAUACUUGGUGUGAAUUGCAGAAUCCCGUGAACCAUCGAGUCUUUGAACGCAAGUUGCGCCCGAAGCCACUAGGCCGAGGGCACGCCUGCCUGGGCGUCACACGUCGUUGCCCCCCCCCCAUCUACUCCUUCGGGAUUGCGGGGGGCGGAUGAUGGCCUCCCGUGCGCCUAGCCGCGCGGUUGGCAUAAAUACCAAGUCCUCGGCGACGCACGCCACGACAAUCGGUGGUUGCGAAACCUCGGUUGCCCGUCGUGUGCGUUCGUCGCGCAUCGAGGGCUCGAAAAAAUGCUCGGCUCCGGCUCGGCUUUCAACGCGACCCCAGGUCAGGCGGGGUUACCCGCUGAAUUUAAGCAUAUCAAUAAGCGGAGGA